GAUGAACGCUGGCGGCGUGCCUAAUACAUGCAAGUCGAGCGAACAGACGAGGAGCUUGCUCCUCUGACGUUAGCGGCGGACGGGUGAGUAACACGUGGAUAACCUACCUAUAAGACUGGGAUAACUUCGGGAAACCGGAGCUAAUACCGGAUAAUAUAUUGAACCGCAUGGUUCAAUAGUGAAAGACGGUUUUGCUGUCACUUAUAGAUGGAUCCGCGCCGCAUUAGCUAGUUGGUAAGGUAACGGCUUACCAAGGCAACGAUGCGUAGCCGACCUGAGAGGGUGAUGGGCCACACUGGAACUGAGACACGGCCCAGACUCCUACGGGAGGCAGCAGUAGGGAAUCUUCCGCAAUGGGCGAAAGCCUGACGGAGCAACGCCGCGUGAGUGAUGAAGGUCUUCGGAUCGUAAAACGCUGUUAUUAGGGAAGAACAAAUGUGUAAGUAACUAUGCACGUCUUGACGGUACCUAAGCAGAAGGCCACGGCUAACUACGU
Molecule: ribosomal RNA, 496 nt
Filed under: uncultured bacterium
Lineage: Bacteria
Description: partial 16S ribosomal RNA
Rfam family: Bacterial small subunit ribosomal RNA
Source: RNAcentral